UCGCAUGUAGUCCAAUCGCAGAUUAAGUGGCCUUGCAGCCAGACGGGGAGGAUGUGUGGAUUCAGACGGGGAGAACCGCGCCGUGAGGGAGGCAAGACGCGGACGGAGACGUAGCCGGCGCCCGGGCCCGGCGGACUGGCCGGAGGCUGGCCAUGGACGAAGAGGACACGAGCGAGGUGAAUGGGGCGCAGAUGUGCGCCAGACGUACACAGGGAAGCCGAAUUUGGACAGGAUUCAUGGGGACAUGGUCACUUAGGGAGGAUGAAGCGGAGGACAUCCGGACAGCGGGCGGUCAAGGACGGGGGCAACGGGAAAGGGCCUGCUCGGCUGCACAGCGCUGCAGCUGCAGUUGCCAGCGUUUUAGCCUAAUGUAGCAACUGCAGCAAGGCUGCAUGCUAGCGGCUUGCUGGCAGCCAGCCGGAAGUAGCACAGCCGAAUAGGCUUUCGAAGGGCUCCGGGGUGUCAAUUGGGAUAGGGUUUUGUGUGUGUGUUUUUUUUUGGGGCGAAGGAUAGCGUUUUGUGUGGUAGUAGUGAUAGAGGGCUGGACGGAGAGUGGAAAUUUCUCUGAUGGCUGCUCUGUAGUUGGGCUUUCCAUAGAAGUUCGGGUUACAGGUACGGGGGGUAAAACCCAAGUUCCCCAAGAUAAUUUCGGGUUUCUGGAUCUGCAACCUGAGGAUUUAUUUUGGGAGUCAGGUUUCGGCUAACACGGGUUCGGGCUCAGGUUUUUCAGGUUCGGGGUUUGGGUUUUCUGCCCACCCCUAUCUGCAAGGGGUGAUGUCGAUGUGCACAGGGCUGUGACGUGGAUAAAAAGGUCAAAUAGGCUAGCUGCAUUGUGUACGUUGGAAAAGAAAAAAAGGUUGCUUAGUCUAAAUCAGAUAUUAGUUUUAUGUACAGAUCAGGAAGCACACACUUGCAAAAAAAAAA
This 924-nucleotide long non-coding RNA is filed under the name Setaria viridis. RNAcentral describes it as "long non-coding RNA (SVIR_LNC004875)". Lineage: Eukaryota; Viridiplantae; Streptophyta; Magnoliopsida; Poales; Poaceae. The record is from RNAcentral.